GACGAACGCUGGCGGCGUGCUUAACACAUGCAAGUCGAGCGGAAAGGCCCUUUCGGGGGUACUCGAGCGGCGAACGGGUGAGUAACACGUGAGUAAUCUGCCCUUGGCUUUGGGAUAACCACCGGAAACGGUGGCUAAUACCGGAUACGACCACUCCCGGCAUCGGGUGGUGGUGGAAAGUUUUUUCGGCCAGGGAUGUGCUCGCGGCCUAUCAGCUUGUUGGUGGGGUAAUGGCCUACCAAUGCUUCGACGGGUAGCCGGCCUGGGAGGGUGACCGGCCACACUGGGACUGAGACACGGCCCAGACUCCUACGGGAGGCAGCAGUGGGGAAUAUUGGACAAUGGGCGGAAGCCUGAUCCAGCAACGCCGCGUGAGGGAUGACGGCCUUCGGGUUGUAAACCUCUUUCAGUACCGACGAAGCGCCGAUGAUGGCGGUGACGGUAGGUACAGAAGAAGCACCGGCCAACUACGUGCCAGCCGCCGCAGUAA
This 490-nucleotide ribosomal RNA is filed under the name uncultured bacterium. Its description in RNAcentral is "partial 16S ribosomal RNA". It matches the Rfam family "Bacterial small subunit ribosomal RNA", at positions 28 to 523 of the family's 1533-position model. The record is from RNAcentral.